GGUUAUGUGCUUACCAAUUGCCACCUUGACAUGGUGGGGGUCGUUGGUUCGAAUCCAAUUGUGCCUACCA
Molecule: transfer RNA, 70 nt
Filed under: Pseudomonas tructae
Lineage: Bacteria; Pseudomonadati; Pseudomonadota; Gammaproteobacteria; Pseudomonadales; Pseudomonadaceae
Description: Pseudomonas sp. SNU WT1 tRNA-Val
Source: RNAcentral